GCAAGUAUAAUUUAAGGGUAAAAUACUAGCCUUCCAAGCUAGUUUUGAGAGUUCAAAUCUCUCUACUUGCU
RNAcentral lists this transfer RNA (71 nucleotides) under Nitzschia sp. NIES-3576. RNAcentral describes it as "tRNA-Gly". It matches the Rfam family "tRNA". Rfam says of the family: Transfer RNA (tRNA) molecules are approximately 80 nucleotides in length. Their secondary structure includes four short double-helical elements and three loops (D, anti-codon, and T loops). The record is from RNAcentral. Lineage: Eukaryota; Bacillariophyta; Bacillariophyceae; Bacillariales; Bacillariaceae.